CCUACGGGAGGCAGCAGUGGGGAAUAUUGGGCAAUGGGCGCAAGCCUGACCCAGCAACGCCGCGUGAAGGAAGAAGGCUUUCGGGUUGUAAACUUCUUUUCUCAGGGACGAAGCAAGUGACGGUACCUGAGGAAUAAGCCACGGCUAACUACGUGCCAGUAGUCGCGGUAAUACGUAGGUGGCAAGCGUUAUCCGGAUUUACUGGGUGUAAAGGGCGUGUAGGCGGGACUGCAAGUCAGAUGUGAAAACCACGGGCUCAACCUGUGGCCUGCAUUUGAAACUGUAGUUCUUGAGUACUGGGGAGGCAGACGGAAUGCCUAGUGUAGCGGUGAAAUGCGUAGAUAUUAGGAGGAACACCAGUGGCGAAGGCAGUCUGCUGGACAGCAACUGACGCUGAGGCGCGAAAGCGUGGGGAGCAAACAGGAUUAGAUACCCCGGUAGUC
RNAcentral lists this ribosomal RNA (443 nucleotides) under uncultured bacterium. Its description in RNAcentral is "partial 16S ribosomal RNA". It matches the Rfam family "Bacterial small subunit ribosomal RNA", at positions 338 to 795 of the family's 1533-position model. The record is from RNAcentral.